This is a long non-coding RNA of Brienomyrus brachyistius, 1351 nucleotides long. RefSeq lists it as uncharacterized. The transcript has 3 exons. NCBI's taxonomy places the organism in Eukaryota, Metazoa, Chordata, Actinopteri, Osteoglossiformes, Mormyridae. The record is from RefSeq and is a predicted model, not a curated record.
GUGAGCAGGGAUUUAACUUUGGAUUGAUGGAGACGUCUGCAGCUCCAGGCUGGCUCCUCCUAAUCGUGCCCUCAAGAUUGGGUCCUCCGAGGAGCAUCUGGUUCCGAAUCCUUCACCGGCACCCCGCUAAUCUGACAGCUCUGUCCAACUCGCCGCGAACGCAGUGGAACCCGCAUUGCUGAUUCAGCUCCACAGAUCGCUUCAUGGUUAGCGGGGGCAGAGAAGGACUUGGUGGCUGUCUCCCAGAAUCCUUUGCAUCAUGUCCUCUGAAAACAUCACAAUCUGUUUUUAACAUGCCUAGAUUUGUGCAUAAUCUCUGGCUGAUGAAAAUGGAUCCAUAUGUUGCUCUGGAUUCCGGAAAGUACCUCAUUGCUGGCUCUGCGGACAUGGCUUUAGGGACUUCUGCGAGAACGGAAGGUCAGCGUUCCUUGCUGUUCCUCUUGCGCUGGCUUCCUCAACCGAGAAACCUCUCAAGAGCCAAUGUGGACAUUUCUGGCACAGUGAACAUCCCCUUCUGACUGUUCCCAUAGCAGGACCGUGAGCUGCAGUCUCUCAUGCUCAUUCUCUAGGAAACACUUUAGGAACCUUAAUGUACAUGGCAGAAGCGAUUUACCUUCUCAGGAAGCAGAGGAUUGAAACCUCACUGGCUCCAAGAUGAGCUGAUCCUGAUUGGCUGAGUGUGUCCCUCAGCAGGGCGUGUCUGGCACGGCAGUGAUGGACAUGGGCAGCAGAUGGGGGUGUUUUAUCAGUCUCCAGUGAGCUACAUGUAAGGUGGGGUCCAAUAUGAUUUGGAUUCCCAUGAAACAGACAGCCAGGCUGCUCAGCUUUCAUUCAGCUGAUGAUUCUCAGCAUCAGUGGAGUUAAGGUUAGUGGUUAAGGACCAGGGUUCAGGGUUAGUUUAUUCUUUGGAAUUUUAAAUCCAUUUCUUUGGAUAUUAUACAGUAUUUGUGUGUAAUUUGUACACAUAAUUCCAGCAAACUUUAGUCACCGGAUUGAAAGCGGACAGCCUAUCAAACAGUGGGUAGCUCUCUAUAAGGAAAUCCCAGAAUGUGACAGGAGAAAAUGGUGCUGUGUCCUGCAAUCGGGGUCCAACUGAGUCAGCAGGAACUUGGUCAUCCGUGCUGCUUUGUGUCUGAGGUUCCCAAUGCAGAGAACUAGGAAAUUCAUGCGGACUCAGCGAAUGCGGGGAAAGGCUGCAUGUGGAUUAUUCUGAAGAGGUUGUGACAGGAGAGAAGAGGCAGGGGGCCACAGUCCACCCAUCACCCGCUUUAAUGAGCGCUUUUGUGUAGGGUUGGGGGCAGAGCACACGCUCGGCCAGCAACCCUGCUCUUAAUUACUCUUCAGGUAGAUC